This 485-nucleotide ribosomal RNA is filed under the name uncultured bacterium. Its description in RNAcentral is "partial 16S ribosomal RNA". It matches the Rfam family "Bacterial small subunit ribosomal RNA", at positions 899 to 1397 of the family's 1533-position model. The record is from RNAcentral.
ACUCAAAUGAAUUGACGGGGGCCCGCACAAGCAGCGGAGCGUGUGGUUUAAUUCGAUGAUACGCGAAGAACCUUACCUGGGUUUGACAUGUGGGUAGUAGGAAGGUGAAAGCCGACCGACCCUUCGGGGAGCCUACACAGGUGCUGCAUGGCUGUCGUCAGCUCGUGUCGUGAGAUGUUGGGUUAAGUCCCGCAACGAGCGCAACCCUCGUCGUUAGUUACAAGUGUCUAACGAGACUGCUGGUAUCAAACCGGAGGAAGGUGGGGAUGACGUCAAGUCAGCAUGGUCUUUAUAUCCAGGGCUACACACACGCUACAAUGGUCGGUACAAUGGGUUGCCACACCGCAAGGUGGCGCUAAUCCUCAAAGCCGGUCUCAGUUCAGAUUGCCGUCUGCAACCCGACGGCAUGAAGGCGGAGUUGCUAGUAACCGCGCGUCAGCCAUAGUGCGGUGAAUGCGUUCCCGGGCCUUGUACACACCGCCCGU